RNAcentral lists this ribosomal RNA (465 nucleotides) under Vreelandella stevensii. RNAcentral's name for it is "partial 16S ribosomal RNA". It matches the Rfam family "Bacterial small subunit ribosomal RNA", at positions 338 to 795 of the family's 1533-position model. Lineage: Bacteria; Pseudomonadati; Pseudomonadota; Gammaproteobacteria; Oceanospirillales; Halomonadaceae. The record is from RNAcentral.
CCUACGGGUGGCUGCAGUGGGGAAUAUUGGACAAUGGGGGGAACCCUGAUCCAGCCAUGCCGCGUGUGUGAAGAAGGCCCUCGGGUCGUAAAGCACUUUCAGUGAGGAAGAACGCCUGGUGGUUAAUACCCAUCAGGAAAGACAUCACUCACAGAAGAAGCACCGGCUAACUCCGUGCCAGCAGCCGCGGUAAUACGGAGGGUGCGAGCGUUAAUCGGAAUUACUGGGCGUAAAGCGCGCGUAGGUGGCUUGAUAAGCCGGUUGUGAAAGCCCCGGGCUCAACCUGGGAACGGCAUCCGGAACUGUCAAGCUAGAGUGCAGGAGAGGAAGGUAGAAUUCCCGGUGUAGCGGUGAAAUGCGUAGAGAUCGGGAGGAAUACCAGUGGCGAAGGCGGCCUUCUGGACUGACACUGACACUGAGGUGCGAAAGCGUGGGUAGCAAACAGGAUUAGAUACCCCAGUAGUC